RNAcentral lists this unclassified non-coding RNA (213 nucleotides) under plant metagenome. RNAcentral describes it as "partial contains small subunit ribosomal RNA, internal transcribed spacer 1, and 5.8S ribosomal RNA". The record is from RNAcentral.
UUUCCGUAGGUGAACCUGCGGAAGGAUCGUUCAUAAUAAGUGUUUUAUGGCACUUUUUUAAAUCCAUAUCCACCUUGUGUGCAAUGUCAGGGUUGAUUUUUCUCUUGAGAGGAUCAGCCCCAAACAUCAACUAUAUCUCAACUCUUUGUCUGAAAAAUAUUAUGAAUAAAACAAUUCAAAAUACAACUUUCAACAACGGAUCUCUUGGCUCUC